Molecule: ribosomal RNA, 473 nt
Filed under: uncultured bacterium
Lineage: Bacteria
Description: bacterial SSU rRNA
Rfam family: Bacterial small subunit ribosomal RNA
Source: RNAcentral
UCGGGAAUUUUGGGCAAUGGGCGAAAGCCUGACCCAGCAACGCCGCGUGGGGGAUGAAGGUCUUCGGAUCGUAAACCCCUGUCGAAUGGGACGAAAGACUCGCGAGUGAAUACUUCGCGAGAGUGACGGUACCGUUAAAGGAAGCCACGGCUAACUCUGUGCCAGCAGCCGCGGUAAUACAGAGGUGGCAAGCGUUGUUCGGAAUUACUGGGCGUAAAGGGCGCGUAGGCGGCCCUCUAAGUCAGACGUGAAAUCCCCCGGCUUAACCUGGGAACUGCGUCUGAUACUGGAGGGCUUGAGUAUGGGAGAGGGAUGUAGAAUUCCAGGUGUAGCGGUGAAAUGCGUAGAUAUCUGGAGGAAUACCGGUGGCGAAGGCGGCAUCCUGGACCAUUACUGACGCUGAGGCGCGAAAGCUAGGGGAGCAAACGGGAUUAGAUACCCCAGUAGUCCCUGAGCGGGCUGGCAAGGCGCAU